Molecule: ribosomal RNA, 524 nt
Filed under: uncultured Alistipes sp.
Lineage: Bacteria; Pseudomonadati; Bacteroidota; Bacteroidia; Bacteroidales; Rikenellaceae
Description: bacterial SSU rRNA
Rfam family: Bacterial small subunit ribosomal RNA
Source: RNAcentral
GUUUGAUCCUGGCUCAGGAUGAACGCUAGCGGCAGGCUUAACACAUGCAAGUCGAGGGGCAGCAUGAAUGUAGCAAUACAUUUGAUGGCGACCGGCGCACGGGUGCGUAACGCGUAUGCAACCUACCUAUAACAGGGGGAUAAUCCGAAGAAAUUUGGUCUAAUACCCCAUAAUAUCUGAGAAGGCAUCUUUUCAGGUUGAAAGCUCCGACGGUUAUAGAUGGGCAUGCGUUGUAUUAGGUAGUUGGUGAGGUAACGUUUCAACUCGCCGAUGAUACAUAUGGGGACUGAUAGGCUAACCCCCCAUGAUGGUUUGGAGACAUCCCCCCCUUCCCUACGGUAGUCCCUGGUGAGCAAUCUAGAUCGAUGGACUCAAUGCUGGCACUACAUGCCGCGUGUGGGAUGACUGCUCUAUGAAUUGCAAACUGCCUUUAUACGAGGUGAAAACCACCCAGCUGCACCUGUCUGAUCGGUCCGUAAGAAUAAGUGUCUUAUAAAUUCUUGGCCAAAAGACGGGAAUACCGA